UGAGAUAGAGAGAGACGCUUCGCAAAUCUCAAUCGAAUCUCAGAAAAAUGAGAGAAAUCAUCAGCAUUCACAUAGGUCAGGCCGGGAUCCAGGUCGGAAACUCCUGCUGGGAACUCUACUGCCUCGAACAUGGCAUCCAGCCCGACGGCAUGAUGCCUUCUGACUCCACCUUCGGUGUAGCCCACGACGCCUUCAACACCUUCUUCAGCGAAACCGGAUCUGGCAAGCACGUCCCCCGUGCUGUCUUCGUCGACCUCGAACCCACCGU
This 268-nucleotide long non-coding RNA is filed under the name Glycine max (soybean). RNAcentral's name for it is "long non-coding RNA (GMAX_LNC001097)". Lineage: Eukaryota; Viridiplantae; Streptophyta; Magnoliopsida; Fabales; Fabaceae. The record is from RNAcentral.